CCUACGGGCGUCAGCAGUGGGGAAUAUUGGACAAUGGGCGAAAGCCUGAUCCAGCCAUGCCGCGUGUGUGAAGAAGGCCUUCGGGUUGUAAAGCACUUUCAGUGGGGAAGAAAGCCUUGGGGCUAAUACCCUCGAGGAAGGACAUCACCCACAGAAGAAGCACCGGCUAACUCCGUGCCAGCAGCCGCGGUAAUACGGAGGGUGCGAGCGUUAAUCGGAAUUACUGGGCGUAAAGCGCGCGUAGGCGGUCUGAUAAGCCGGUUGUGAAAGCCCCGGGCUCAACCUGGGAACGGCAUCCGGAACUGUCAGGCUAGAGUGCAGGAGAGGAAGGUAGAAUUCCCGGUGUAGCGGUGAAAUGCGUAGAGAUCGGGAGGAAUACCAGUGGCGAAGGCGGCCUUCUGGACUGACACUGACGCUGAGGUGCGAAAGCGUGGGUAGCAAACAGGAUUAGAUACCCGAGUAGUC
RNAcentral lists this ribosomal RNA (465 nucleotides) under Vreelandella stevensii. RNAcentral describes it as "partial 16S ribosomal RNA". It matches the Rfam family "Bacterial small subunit ribosomal RNA", at positions 338 to 795 of the family's 1533-position model. The record is from RNAcentral. Lineage: Bacteria; Pseudomonadati; Pseudomonadota; Gammaproteobacteria; Oceanospirillales; Halomonadaceae.